This is a long non-coding RNA of Anolis carolinensis (green anole), 19538 nucleotides long. RefSeq lists it as uncharacterized. The record is from RefSeq and is a predicted model, not a curated record. The transcript has 2 exons. Lineage: Eukaryota; Metazoa; Chordata; Lepidosauria; Squamata; Anolidae.
AAUAAUAAUAGUCCUAGACACUUGGGAAGUGUCCGAUGUGUGAUCCAAUACAACAGCCAGCAGAGUGUCUGCUGUGGACUCAUCUUGUUGUGUUUCAAAUAAUAAUAAUAAUAAUAAUAAUAAUAAUAAUAAUAAUAAUAAUAAUAAUAAAAACUUUAUUUCUAGACCUCCCUCUCUCCCCAGAGAGACUCAGGGCGGUUAACAUACAUAUAAAUGGCAAACAUUCAAUGCCACAAUUUCUUCAUUAAUAUCAAAAGUAUAAAAUGACAAUAACAUACAUGUUAUAAUGAAAAUUCCACAUUAGAACAAAACAAUAAAUUUAAACAUGACAGUCAGUAAAAACAUUAUUGCACAGAGCGAGCGUAUACUUGGACCAAUUUAAGCGACCAAGUUGCAGUCAUAGACCUUGGAGGGGUCUACGGACAACGCCGGCUCUUUGGCUAAGAAUUGGAGAUGAGCACCAACCCCCGAGUCGGACACAACUGGACUUAAUGUCAGGGGAAAACCUUUACCUAACCUAACCUUAAAUAAUAUUGACCAUUGGGAGUGGGAGUCGUUCUGGGAGUGGUUCUUGUUCCUAUGUGUGAUCCUGUUUCUGUUUUUAGGGUUGCUGCCAAACGAUGUGAUAGGUGAUGGUGACAUUCCCUCAAGAUCCGGGGAUGCUUUGUUCCUUUUCCUGCCUGGUUUCUAGGUCCGGUUCAAAGUGCUAGUUUUCACCAUUCAGAUAGAUUUUGAAGACUGUAUUUGUUCAGGCUUUUGUGUGGGUGGUACUCCAGAUAGUUUAUCACUGCAGUUACCUUGCAUUUAAAUAAUGUGCUUUGAAAGCUAUUUACAGUGGUUAGUUUUGGCCUUACUGAAAAUACUUGCCAGUUUUCCAUGUGUAAGUUCAGUUUAUUGUGUAUUUCAGAAAUAUAAAGUAAACUUUAUAUUAAUACUAGCUUGGGUACCCAGCGUUGUCCAGGUUAUUUGAAAAAGGCAAUGUUUUAAUUGUACAAAAUGCAUAAGGUUGUGGAUUAACUACAACUGACAUCAUGCCAGGUUAACCCCAAGAAACUCCAUCAGUACAGUAGAGUCUCACUUAUCCAACAUAAACGGGCCAGCAGAACCUUGGAUAAGCGAAUAUUUUGGAUAAUAAGGAGAGAUUCAGGAAAAGCCUUUUAAACAUCAAAUUAGGUUAUGAUUUUACAAAUUAAGCACCAAAACAUCAUGUUAUACAACAAAUUUGACAGAAAAAGUAGUUCAAUACGCAGUAAUGUUAUGUUGUAAUUACUGUAUUUACGAAUUUAGCACCAAAGCAUCACGAUAUAUUGAAAACAUUGACAACAGAAAUGCAUUGGAUAAUCCAGAACCUUGGAUAAGCGAGUCUUGGAUAAGUGAGACUCUACUGUACUUAGUUUGUGAUGUUGGACAGGUUUGCUCUGGAUGCAACAUUGGUGGGGUUCAGUGUGCUCUCUGGCUGUAGGGUGAACUACAACUCCCACUAUGGUGAGUCAGUGCCCUUAAACCCUUCCAAUAGGUUGAGUUAGUCAUGGGGGUUCUGUAUGCCAAGUUUGGUCCAGGUCCAUCAUUGGUGAUGGUUGCUGUUUUUCUGGUUGUUGGCGAACUACAACUCCCAGAAAGGAAGGUCAGUUCCCCCCAAACCCCUCCAGUAAUCAAAUUUCGGCAUAUCGGGGAUGUGUGCCACGUUUGGUCCAGAUCAUUGGUGUUUGGAUUCUCAGUGCUCUCUGGAUGUAGGUGAACUACAACUCACCCAAAUCAAGGUUAAUUUUCCCCAAAGACCUCCAGUAUUUUUUGCUGGUCAUGAGGACUUUAGUGUGCCAAGUUUGGUCCAAUUCCAUCUUUGGUGGAGUUCAGAGUGCUCAUUGAUUGCAGGUGAACUAUACAUCCCAGUAUGUACAGCUCCAAAAUGUCCAGGCCAAUUCCCCUCAAAACCCACCAGUAUUCAAAUUUGGGCAUAUCGGGUAUGCAUGCCAAGUUUGGUCCCGAUCCAUUAUUGUUUGGGUUCAUAGUGCGCUCUGGAUGUAGGUGAACUACAAUUGCUGACUAGUACCUCUGUUUGCUGUGUGCCAUAGAAAAGAAUAGGAAAGGGUUAAGGGAGAGGCAGAGGGUGGGAUCAUACAAAUCUCACACCAAUGGAGAGAGUCAGAAACACUGGGAUGCCUGUGGUAGAGGAAAGACAUAAAAUCUCAGAAUGAAAUUGUCUCCAGAUGAAAGCCUUCACUUGGGUGGUGAGGACAUUGGCAGUGUUCUUGGACAUUAUAUUCGGGUUGGCUUAUACUCGAGUAUAUACGGUAAUUGGAGGGAGGGCCAUUGGUGUCUCCUGGGUAGUGGGAGCUAUCUAUAUAUAUAAAAGGAUAAAAAUUUUUGGCCUAGGACAAAACAACAAAACUACACAUCCCAGAAACACUAAACUUGGCAGCACGGCCCCUCAUCCAUGCCUCUACGUUCAUACAACAAAAAGAAAAGAAAAAUAAAGUCCUAAUUAGAGGGAGAGGAAUAAUAGUUUUUAUCCCAUUGCUGCCAGUUUGAAGGCUAAGCUCCGCCCACUUGGUCUCCUAGCAACCCACCCAGCCCAGGGGCCAGGCAGACUUAGGCCUCACUUAGGCCUCUUCCACACUGCCUAUAAAAUAAAGAUUAUCAGAUUUUAACUGGAUUAUAUGGCAGUGUAAACUCAAGGCCCUUCCACACAGCUAUCUAACCCAUUUAUAAUGGACUUAAUGUAAGGUAAAACCUUUACCCUUUACCUUAACUACCACCAAUUCCUCAGUACUUUAUUUCCCAUACCACCAUACUUCAUCACAGCAACGCGUGGCUUGGCACAGCUAGUAGCUAUAUAUGUAUAUAGAAAAUAUACAUAUUUUCACUAUUACUAUGUGUAUAGAUGUAUGUUGCUUUACAUUGCGUAGUUUUAUAGUGCUUAAUAUUGAAGGGAAUGUUCUCGCCCUGUCUUCGCUUUGAAGGGUACAGCUGGGUGGAGCAUUCUCAAGGGAAAUCGUGAGUUCCCUCCCUCCUGUCAGUCAAGAGGCCUGGUCAAAAAUAACAGAUGGUGAUGCACGGAAAGACGUCUAAGCCGUGGGGGCUCCACCCUUUUCCCUCUGGCCUUGGGGGGAGGGAGGCAGCAAUAACCAGCCCCAUUGCAAAGAAGAGAGAGGGUGGCUCUGCUUCUUAGCUCCUGGAGAAACAUCAUUAUCGGCUUGACAUCUAAUAUUUGUUUCUCCUCCCACCUCCUGUUCCCUAACAAGGGUGCUGUGAGCUCAGGGAGUAUAAUGUAAUAGGCAGGUCAUUAAAGGCAACUUGGCUCGGCUCGUUGCAGGGCAGCUUCAUUAGGCAUGUGAGGCUCUUUCUGUGGUUCAACCAGGUCGCUGUGUUUUGAAAUAAUAAAUCCCCCCCAUAAGAAUGGAUUCUAUUGUGACUGUGAGGUGGGCAUGCCGUGUGAGUGAAUCCAGGCCUCGCCAUGGUUAGCUAGCCAUGAAGUUCUUCUUUAGAGGGCGAUUCAAAGCCAUUGAAAUCCACAAGCAUGUGGACAAUGUCAACAGAAAGGAGGAAACCAUGAAAAUGAACAAAAUCUACGAGGGUUGAAGGAAAAGUAAUGCGCAGGGUUCCAUACUUCGCAUUUUAACAACACAACCGUUCAAUGCUAAGGCUUCCCCGUCUGCGCAGGGUUCCAUACUUCGCACUUUAACAACACAACCGUUCAAUGCUAAGGCUUCCCUCCAAAUGGAACUGUAGAGGAGAGUCUACUGAACAAGCCAGAACCUGCCGCAGACCAGGACUGCCAUCUGUUGAGGAGUUACGAAGGUGGAGGCAUUACUUUUCAUUCAACCCUCAUAGCUAGGUAAAAGGUAAAGGUUUUCCCUUGACAUUAAGUCUAGUCAUGUCUGACUCUUGGAGUUGGUGCUCAUUUCUAUUUCUAAGCUGAAGAGCCAGCAUUGUCCGUAGACACCUCCAAGGUCAUGUGGCCAUAGACAUGACUGCAUAGAGCGCUUUACUGUCUCACUGGAGCAGUACCUAUUGAUCUACUCACACUCUGGGGGUUGGUGCUCAUCUCCAUUUCUAAGCCAAAGAGCCGGCGUUGUCCGUAGACACCUCCAAGGCCAUGUGGCCAUUGGCAUGACUGCAUGGAGCGCUUUUCUGUCCCGCCAGAGCAGUACCUAUUGAUCUACUCACACUCUGGGGGUUGGUGCUCAUCUCCAUUUCUUAGCCAAAGAGCCGGCAUUGUCCGUAGACACCUCCAAGGCCAUGUGGCCAUAGGCAUUACUGCAUAGAGUGCUUUACUGUCUCACCAGAGCAGUACCUAUUGAUCUAUUCACACUCUGGGGGUUGGUGCUCAUCUCCAUUUCUAAGCCGAAGAGCUGGCAUUGUCCGUAGACACCUCCAAGGCCAUGUGGCUACAGGCACGACUGUAUGGAGCACUGUUACUUUCCUGCCAGAGUAGUACCUACUACUACUACUACUACUAUUACUAUUACUACUAAGUUUCUUAAUAUUAUUACUUAUUUAUUAUUAUUUAUUACUAUUACUACUAUUACUAUUACUACUAGAGAGUAAAUCUACUCACAUUUGCAUGUUUUUGAACUGCUACGUUGGCAGAAGCUGGGGCUAACAGCGGGCGCUCACUCCGCUCCCUGGAUUUGAACCUGUGACUUUUCGGUCUGCCAGUUCAGCAGCUCAGAGCUUUAACACGCUGCACAACCGGGGCCCCUAAAAAUCUAGCUACCAGUAUUAAAAUAACUCUAAAAUUAGGACAGUUAAAUAAAGAACAACACUCUGAAAGAAACAAGAAACAGUCAGGGCCAGCUGAAACCUCCCAAUAAAGGAUUCCGCCAGGCAGGAAGCAGGCAGGCUUUGAAGCUUUUAACUUGUUUUAUUCUGUGUUUUUUAUUGCUUGUUUUAUACUGUUGAUGACUGGGUUUGGCCCCAUGUAAGCUGCCCCGAGUCCCUUCGGGGAGAUGGGGCGGAGUAUAAGAAUAAAAUUAUUAUUAUUAUUAUUAUUGACACAACGACGUUGUAUGACACAGCAAACAAGAUAGACAUGCUGGAUUUCGUUUCACAAAACCACAAGUCGAACACUUCCCAAGUGUUUAGGACUGUGUGAUGUAUUCUCGGAUGAUGCGUGCAGAUCCCAGCAGGGUGGCCUUUUGCAGUUGGCAGAUCGUAAUUUUGUCAAUGUCUAUUGUUUCCAAAUGCCGGCUGAGAUCUUUUGGCACGGCACCCAGUGUGCCCAUCACCACCGGGACCACCUGCACUGGUUUCUGCCAGAGUCUUUGAAGUUCAAUCUUGAGGUCCUGAUAGCGGCUGAGUUUUUCCUGUUGUUUUUCGUCAAUGCGGCUGUCACCUGGGAUGGCGACAUCAAUGAUCCAAACCUUGUUCUUUUCCACAACUGUGAUGUCUGGUGUGUUGUGUUCCAGAACUUUGUCAGUCUGGAUUCGGAAGUCCCACAGUAUCUUUGCGUGUUCAUUUUCCAGGAUCUUUGCUGGUUUGUGAUCCCACCAGUUCUAUUAUUAUUAAGCUGAAAGGCCAUUCAGUGCUAAUCAAGGUGGCUAAUUGCAAUAUUCACAGAUAUGAGUUUCUCCCACCCUGGACAUUAUUCCACAAGUAUAUAAAUCCCUCUUGCCUAGUUUCCAACAGACCUCACAACCUGAGGAUGCCGGCCGUAGAUGUGGGUGAAAUGUCAGGAGAGAAUGCUUCUGGAGCAAGUCCAGACAGCCCGGAAAACUCACAGCAACCCAAAACACUGAAAAGUUUCCUUGAGACAGGUUAAGGAAAGGCCAUUUUUGGCCUUCAGCAUAGCUGCUUUAUCAAGACAAUAUUUCCCCGCUAUCGGAAAUCCGUUGUAGCUCUUGUGUUACAUUGGGAAAAGAUAAGGUUUCCAAUAAUUUCUUCUCCUGUUUGUUAUUAACCCUCCUGCACUGGGUUAAAAGCACUUUACCAAUCUGGUCUUAGGGUCAGGUAGGCUCCAAUUAAGUUGCGGUUUAAAACAGACACACGAAUACAGGCACAUACGUGCUUGACAAAUUUGUGCUAAAAAUCACAAAACCAUGUCUAGGAUUAUAGUUGAUUGGCAAAGGGCACAGUUGUAGAGGAAUGGCAUCCGGGGUAUGUAAUUCCUUCCCUAAAUGUCAAUUACUUGAUCCUUUCCUGUCCAAGUGGCUCAAAAACAUGUGAAGUUUUAAACACCAACAACAACAACAAGAAUGGUAGUGAUAUUAAUAGCAAUCAUAAUGAUUUGAAUAAUAUUACUUAAUGAUUAAUAUUAAAUACUAACUUUAAAAUGUACCUGUUUCUGACUUAUAUACAAGUUAAACUUAAGAACAAAUGCUUCAAAUUAAAAUAUACACCAUACUGCUUGGUGUUGGGAAUGAUUUUUGUGAUACUAUUUCAGCACUCACUUCUUAUUUCAAAUAUGCAGGAUGGUUUAUGUCCUUAAUCUUUUUUCAAUGUGUCUGUUUGUCUCUUCUGAUAUGUUUCCAGAGAGAGGUUCCCACUAGUCCUGUUAAUUUACCAUAUAUACUCAAGUAUAAGUCGACUCGAAUAUAACCCAAUUUUACCAUAAAAACUGGGAAAACAUUGACUCUAGUAUAAGCCGAGAGCGGUAAAUUUCAGAAAUAAAAAUAGAUACAGUAGAGUCUCACUUAUCCAAGACUCGCUUAUCCAAGCUUCUGGAUUAUCCAAGACAUUUUUGUAGUCAAUGUUUUCAAUAUAUCAUGAUAUUUUGGUGCUAAAUUCGUAAAUACAGUAAUAACAACAUAACAUUACUGCAUAUUGUACUACUUUUUCUGUCAAAUUUGUUGUAUACAUAGCAUUACUGUGAACUGAACUACUUUUUAUGUCAAAUUUGUUGUAUAACAUGAUGUUUUGGUGCUUAAUUUGUAAAAUCAUAACCUAAUUUGAUGUUUAAUAGGCUUUUCCUUAAUCCCUCCUUAUUAUCCAAGAUAUUCGCUUAUCCAACGUUCUGCCGGCCCAUUUAGCUUGGAUAAGUGAGAGUCUACUGUAUUAAUAAAAUUACAUGAAUUGAGGCAUCAGUAGGUUAAAUGUUUUUGAUUACUGUAAUUUAAGAUAAAACUGUCCGACUCUGAUUAAAUCAUUAUUCUCCUCUUCUUCAAUGUAAAUGUGCUUAUGUAUCCUUUUGAUAAUAAUAGAGUAAAAUAAUAAAUAUAAUAAUACUAAUAAAUACAGUAAAGUAAUACAUGUAAUAAUAAAUAGAGUAAAAUAAUAAAUGUAACAAUAAGCUUAUCAGAGUGAAAUAAUAAAUGUAUUAAUAAUAAUAAAAAUGGAGUAAAAUAAAUGUAAUACAGUAGAGUCUCACUUAUCCAGGCUUCACUUAUCCAAGGUUCUGUAUUAUCCAAGGCAGUCUGCCUUUUAGUAGUCAUUGUUUUUGUAGUAAAUGUUUUGGUGCUAAAUUCGUAAAUACAGUAAUUACUAUGUAACAUUACUGUGUAUUGAACUGCCUUUUCUGUCAAUUUCUUGUAAAACAUGAUGUUUUGGGGCUUAAUUUGUAAAAUCAUAAUGUAAUUUUAUGUUUAAUAGGCUUUUUUCUUAAUCCCUCCUUAUUAUCCAAGAUUUUCGCUUAUCCAAGGUUCUGCCGGCCCGUUUAUCUUGGAUAAGUGAGACUCUACUAUAGCAAAAAUAAUAAUAGAGUAAAAUUAUAAUUGUAAUAAUAAUAAUAAUAAUAAUAAUAAUAAUAGAGUAAAAUAAUAAAUGUAAUAAUACCAAUAAUAAACAGAGAAAAAUAAUAAAUGUGCCAUAAAUACUCUAGUAUAAGCUCUGUCGCAUCUCAGGAUAGCUUCACCUUGCUGUGUACACCAAACUGCACACAGGUUGAAGUCUUUUUAGUUUAUUAGAAAACUAGCUUUGCCCGUCCACGCGUUGCUGUGGCUUAUGGGAAUCCUUUGUUGGCCAGGUGGAAUAGCAGUGAAUAGCCUUGCAGCCUCAAAGCCUGGCCGUUUUCUGGGGUAGCUGGAGCUUUUUGUUGUAUGAAUGUAGAGGCAUGGAUGAGGGGUUGUGCUGCCAAGUUUAGUGUUUCUGAGAUGUGUAGUUUUGUUGUUUUGUCCUAGGCCGAAAUUUCAUUACCUUUUUAUAUAUAUAGAUAAAAGAUAAAAAGUUCUUUAAAAACAAGAGUAAAGUUCCAAAAGAUCGUUACAAAAUAAAGCCUUAGAGCAUAAUUCAAGUAAUCACUGGAAAUAAACAAAGUCUCAUUAGAGCAUGACAAAGUCCCAAGAACACGAACACAAGAGCUGCAAGAUAAUCCAGUAAAACAAGAGCUUGCUUCUUGGUUGAACGAAAAGUUGCUUUGACAAAGGUUUGUCUCCAAACACAUUGCUUUAAUACCCUUUGCAAAGCAUGAAAGCAUUUCCCUGGCCUCUAACCUCCCUCUUGUUUGCAAUCCUCACACUCCUCUGAACCCUGAAUUCCAAAUGGUCAGCUCGAUCUAGGGAACCUGUCUCGUCAAGGUCAGCUUGCUUGUUAGUUUAGGAGGAGAACUGUCCUCCUUUUCCAAGUCAAUUUGCACCUGGCUAGUUUCAGUAUCAACAACAUCAUUCCUUGCUGUGGGAAAAUGAACUUGUGCUCUCUGUUCCUCAUCUUCUACAACAGGGACAUUUUGAACCCGAUUUUGAACCUGAAUCCCAUCAUCCUCAUCAAAGUCAAUCUGAGGUUCCAGCUGAGUCACAACAAGCUGACCUGAAUAUAAGCCAUUGAGUAAACACAGAUGUCUAUUCUAAACAAUGUAAUGAACUAUACAACACAAUAAGUAGUACACAAUAUGUAUAUUAGAGCAUCAUAUACAUAUAAUAUUCACAGAAAAAAUACUCAGUUCUAAGGUAUAUAACUCAAAAGUAUCUAACUCAGUAUUAUAAAUCAAACAAAAUGAUAUCUCUGCAGUCCUAAAAGGAUUGGAUUGGCUUAAAGGCAAACCGAUUCAGAGUCUCUCCAGUUCUGGAGAGAUUCCUUAGGACUCCACAGGUUUUGGAUCAAUAGUAAAGCCAAGUAGACAGAGUCAGUGCUGAUGUAGCUCCUGAGUAGGUGUUAAUAAAUCCGUUCACACCGUUUACAUGCCGUUUACAACUGGUUCCCGGGUUUUAUCCCAGUUUUGGUAACCCUUCUUCUGGUAAGCGGCAAAUGCUUUAUUAUUUCUUUAUUAUUUCUUUAUUGACCUAUUAUAGCACACAAAAGAUCUAAAAAUUUAAAAGAUAUUCUCAUUCAUUCUGAUUUCAAAAUAUCUAAUUUAGAACCCAGGAAUAUUAUCACAGGGAAUUUUAAGUGUGGACAUUGUGACGUUUGUGGGCUCACGUCCAAUAUUAAGCAAUUUCAACAUCCAUCAUUGCUCAUCAAGAUCAGUUUGGAAAACUACAUGACUUGUUCAUCAGAAAACGUAAUCUAUGUAAUUAGACCCCCUGCCCAGUUCUCUUUGGGCAUUGUGGAGUAGGGAUCCAUUUCCUUCUUCAUUUUUGGAUUUGGAUCUAUCAGGAAGCAGCCAGAAUGUGUAUCGUACCCUCAAAGGAUAUUUGUGUGUGUCACAUUAUUUUCCUUUUCUCUUGCAACUACUUUGCAUGAGAACUUACUUUGCAUGAGAACUACAAGCCAGGAUUGCAGAGAGUUCGGGCUGUGUCUUCUACCGUGUUUUCCCGAAAAUAAGACAGUGUCUUAUAUUAAUUUUUGCUCCCAAAAAUGUGCUAGGUCUUAUUUUCAGGGGAUGUCUUAUUUUUCCAUGAAGAAGAAUUCACUUUUAUUGUUGAACAAAAAAAUGGACAUUUAUUAUAUACUGUCCAGUAUCAUCACAAACCAGCAUAACCAGACAAACUGUGAAUCCUAUCAAGAAUUUCUUCUUAUUACCAUUAUUUUCAUGUACAGCAAUCUAUGGUACGUACAUUUACCGAUCCUGCAUGCUCUGGUGUUCUGUUUGGUGGGCAUAAUUCCAAACAAAAACUUUGCUAGGUCUUACUUUUGGGGGAGACCUUAUAUUUAGCAAUUCAGCAAAAUCUCUACUAGGUCCCAUUUUCUGGGGAUGUCUUAUUUUUGGAGAAACAGGGUAUGAUGCAUGCACUUGCAUGUAUUUAAAGAGGGAAAGACAUUCAUAGAGGUAGGGACAUCACCCCUUCUCAUCUGAAAAGAAUUAGGAGUCUUGGUGAUAUGUAAGGAAUGACCCUAAGUUUUUUUUUCAAGCAUUUUAUAGGAUGAGAUUGUUGGUCGCAACCUCAAUCUGUAGCUCUACGAAGGACACACUGAUGCCCCAAAGCUGUUUAAAGCUGAGAGCACCAGAAAAUAAUAUUUGCUGCCUUGUGGGCGGGUGUCAUUUCCAGCUCUUUCUGCCUCGGUUGCCACUUAUGGAUGAGAAACACUUGCCGAUCGGAGGCUUGUAGACCUGUGUGCAACUACCAGGAACCCAUCAGCCAGAAGUUUGUCCUCCCUCCCCCUCGACUCCAGUCUGGCUGCUGAUAAACUGUGUGUGAUUCGGUGAAGUUGAUACUGGAAGCAUUAAGGCAGGUUCAUUUCUCUAGUAAAAGCAUUUUGUAGAUGGUGCACAAGAGAUAACAUUGAAAUAUAACUUGCGUAUGGAAAUCUCGACUUCUCUGUGUCCGAUAGACUCAUUUAACCUUUGAAGGCCUCUGGCUCGAUGGCCCUCCGAGGGAGAGGGAGAGAGAGACGCUGCAUGGAAAAUGUGCUAAAUAUAGUGCUCAUUUGUUGUUGAAUAAUAAGUUCAGAGGGUUGGAUGCAAAGAGUUUCCAGUUCCACGUAGGCAGCAAACUCAGUGGGAGGCAUAUACUGUAAAUAAAAUGUUUGCAGCUGGCUAUUCCUGCGCAGCAUCUUUCUUGUUUGUUAGAAUGAUUAAAUGCAUGGGAUUGAUUGAGAGAAACAUUUUUAAAAUUGCAGUAAAAGGUAAAGGUUUACCAUGACAUAAAGUCCAGUCGUGUCCAACUCUGGGGGUUGGUGCUCAUAUCUGUUUCUAAGCUGAAGAGCCGGUGUUGUCCGUAGACACCUCUAAGAUCAUGUGGCCACAGGCAUGACUGCAUGGAGCACUGUUACCAUCCCUCCGUAGCAGUACCUAUUGAUCUACUCACACUCUGGGGGUUGGUGCUCAUCUCCAUUUCUAAGCCGAAGAGCCGGCGUGUCCGUAGACACCUCCAAGGCCAUGUGGCCAUUGGCAUGACUGCAUGGAGCGCUUUUCUGUCCCGCCAGAGCAGUACCUAUUGAUCUACUCACACUCUGGGGGUUGGUGCUCAUCUCCAUUUCUAAGUCGAAGAGCCGGCGUUGUCCGUAGACACCUCCAAGGUCAUGUGGCCAUUGGCAUGACUGCAUGGAGCGCUUUUCUGUCCCGCCGGAGCAGUACCUAUUGAUCUACUCACACUCUGGGGGUUGGUGCUCAUCUCCAUUUCUAAGCCAAAGAGCCGGCGUUGUCCGUAGACACCUCCAAGGCCAUGUGGCCAUUGGCAUGACUGCAUGGAGCGCUUUUCUGUCCUGCCAGAGCAGUACCUAUUGAUCUACUCACACUUUGGGGGUUGGUGCUCAUCUCCAUUUCUAAGCCGAAGAGCCGGCGUUGUCCGUAGACACCUCCAAGGUCAUGUGGCCAUUGGCAUGACGGCAUGGAGUGCCGUUACCUUCCCACCGGAGUGGUCUCUAUUGAUCUACUCACAUUUGCAUGUUUUUGAACUGCUAGGUUGGCAGAAGCUGGAGCUAACAACAGGUGCUCACUUUGCUCCCCGGAUUUGAACCUGUGACCUGUGACAAUGCGCUUUAGCACAUUGUGCCACCGGGGACAUAUAUUAAAAGAAGGUGCUGGAUAGUAUCAUGGAGGUUGAAUUCCUGUUGUUGAUUUUUGAACUUUUUUGGUAAAUUGCUUGCUGUCUUGAGUCUUAUCACUCUUAUCUAUGUUGCUGUCCAUCACUCCAUUGAAGUCUCUCAAAAUUAUCAAAUUGUCAAAUUCUAAAAUAUGAUCUUUUAACGUUUUCUCACAAAUGUGGUUUUUGGGUCAUUUGGGCCAUAUAUAAUGCAAACCAAAAGUCUUAAAAUGUUGUAUUUUUAUUAUUACCCAUAGCAUUCUGCCCUCUUGAUCAUUAAAGGCCAGUCCUGCCUCCAACUUCUUAUUAACAUAGAGGAGCACCCCUCUUUUCUUUUCUAGGGCAGAUGAAUAAAAUUAUUCUCCAAUACGUUUUUGUUCCAGAUGGGCUACAUAUCUUUGUGCUAUAUGGGUUUCUUGUCAAGCCACCACAUCGUACUUUUCUUUUUUAUUCUAUUAAAUAUUUUACUUGGUUUAUUGGGUGAAUUCAGUCCAUUAACAUUAUUAGAGUAUGAGGAAGAACGGAUCUGAUUUUAUGUUUGAAAUGUAUAUUUUUAAUUCAUAAUGUAUUUUAAUAGUUUUAACUGUUUUAUGUGCUGUUUUAUAUUGGUUUGUAUGGGCAUCUAAUUGUUGCCACUGUUGUAAUCCGCCCUGAGUUUCUUCGGGUGAGAAGGGCGGGAUAUAAAUGUGAGAAAUAAAUAAAUUAGAGUAACAUUUUAGUUCCCUAGCCAUCUUCAUUGUUUUUCUUUGAAGGCUUUGAAACAGUGGCUGGAUAGCUAUCUGUCGGGAAUGCUUUCAAUGCAAUUUUCCUGCUUCUUGGCUCCGGGUUGGACUGGAUGGCCCACGAGGUCUCUUCCAACUCUGUGAUUCUAAAAUACAGCUUAGCAUAGAGUGAAAAGUGCCAUUGGCUUGCCAGCUUUCUGUUGGUAAACCUACAUUUCCCAAUCUUAGGCCACUCUGAUGUGUUAUAAAUGCCAUGAUCCCUGUUUGGCAGGCUCAAGCGACUUAUAGUCUGACAUGUCUCAUGUGGGCCAGGUUGAGCAAGGCUGUCUUAGAUAUAAUCUUUUUAUUGAGGCCACUACACAUCUUGGAGAGAUCUUGUCCUUGAGCCACGUCAUCACCAAAACUAUUAGUAGUGCUCUUGGGAAUUACCUAGGGACAGCAAAACAGCCCUGAGAGUCACAUUUGGCUUGGAAGGUGGGUUUUUCUUUUGUAGAGCAGGGCUUCUUGAGGAAUUCUGUGAUAUUUGGGUAAGUUUGUGUGGACAGGCAUUCCCCUAUCCUUCUGUAGAAGGCAGGACAGCAUUAAUCUGGCACUCAGGCUUUGUAGUACUGUAUGACCGCCAUCAUUUACAGGGAAUAAGUUCAAAGAUCUAAUGUGGAUACCUGGAACUAUGAAAAGUAACUCAUCCUACAAUAUUGGGCUGGAAGCAUACCCUAGAAUCGUAUUGGGAGGAUUUGGAGAGGCUCAGAAACACUUCUGGAGGAGAUAGUUUUUGGAGCAUGGAGAGUGAACCAUAAAUAUUGAAUUUGUGGAUAAGGGGGCAAUACAAGGGUUGAAUGAAAAGUAAUGCCUCCAGCUUCGUAACUCCUCAACAGAUGGCAGUCCUGGUAUGUGGUAGGUCCUGGCUUGUUCAGUAGACUCUCUUCUACAGUUCCAUUUGGCGGGAAGCCUUAGCAUUUGUUGUGUUGUUAAAAGGCGAAGUAUGGAACCCUGCGCAGACGGGGAAGCCUUAGCAUUGAAUGGUUGUGUUGUUAAAGUGCGAAGUAUGGAACCCUGCGCAGACGGGGAAGCCUUAGCAUUGAACGGUUGUGUUGUUAAAGAGCGAAGUAUGGAACCCUGUGCAGACGGGGAACCCUUGCAUUGAACGGUUGUGUUGUUAAAGUGCGAAGUAUGGAACCCUGUGCAGACGGGGAAGCCUUGCAUUGAACGGUUGUGUUGUUAAAGUGCGAAGUAUGGAACCCUGUGCAGACGGGGAAGCCUUGCAUUGAACAAUUGUGUUGUUAAAGAGCGAAGUAUGGAACCCUGUGCAGACGGGGAAGCCUUAGCAUUAAAUGGUUGUGUUGUUAAAGUGUGAAGUAUGGAACCCUGUGCAGACGGUCUCUCAAUGCGACUUAAGCAACGUGCAGUCACUGAAUUCUUGACAGCAGAAGGUGUCACCCCAAAGGAGAUUCACCAGAGAAUGCAAACUGUUAAUGGUGAUUGUGUUGAUGUGAUUGUGCGUCUUUGGGCGAGUAAGUUUAAAAAUGUUGAGGUGGGAACAUCUGACUUGCGUGAUAAGCAAAGAGUUGGACGUCCUGUGACAGCGACCACCGAGUUUCACAAGCAAAAGGUCGACAGAUUGAUUCAGGAUGAUCGUCGUAUCACUCAGAGAGAAAUUUUAAGCACAGUCAGCAUUUCACAAGAACGUGUGGGUCACAUUAUUGCUUUGCUUGGCUAUCGGAUGUUGAGAGAACUGUGAGACGCCGGUUGCGGAAACAGAGUGUCGACUUCUUCCGUGAUGGCUUCAGAAAACUUGUUCAUCGUUGGCAGAAAUGUAUCCAAUUGUCUGGUGAUGAUGUGGAAAAGUGAAUAGUGGUACAGUAGAGUUUCACUUAUCCAACAUAAAUGGGCCGGCAAAACAUCGGAUAAGUGAAUAUGUUGAAUAAUAAGGAGGGAUCAAGGAAAAGUCUACUAAACAUUAAAUUAGGUUAUGAUUUUUACAAAUGAAGCACCAAAACAUCAUGUUAGACAACAAAUUUGACAGAAAAAGUAGUUCAGUACGCAGCAAUGCUAUGUAGUAAUUACUGUAUUUACGAAUUUAGCACCAAAAUAUCACGAUGUCCUGAAAACAUUGACUGUAAACAUGCGUUGGAUAAUCCAGAAUGUUGGAUAAGCGGAUGUUGGAUAAGUGAGACUCUACUGUAGUUAAAGAGCACAUUUUAAGGAUUGUUUUUGCGUUUGGUUUAUUAAAAUAUUCCCAUCCAAACCCAAACGAAGGUGGAGGCAUUACUUUUCAUUCAACCCUUAUUUCAUAUAGCCUUGUUAGCCAGCAUUUUUAAUCCUUAUUGCUUGGUCUCUGCCGGUGGGCCUAUGCUUUAUGCAUGCUCAUUUUUUAAAAUCCAAAGCUUAUACAAGUUUUGUCUGUCAUCGCCCCAUUGGCCUCAGUAGAAUGGCAUUAACCCAAAUCCAGUUACUUUGUUUUAUCUGCUUUGUGAAUUGUCUCUAGGUUGCCUUGAGAAUGGCUAGGCUUGUAUUUGUUCGCCCUCCGGCUUCAUGUAUAUUUCUUUCAUCAGCAGAUGAUGCGUCAGAGACCCGUUUUGGUACCUUUAAUUGUUCUUGUGUACAAGAGGGUUUGCGAAAUGGACAGAGAACUGAUAUUUCCGAUCCUGUUUUCUUUCGGGAGCGACAACCUGUACGAAUCUGUAACCCUCUUCUCCAGCAUAUGAUACAGGAGCAGCGUGACAUUUAGUAUUUUUUACAUUCUUGGUGUCUCUUUAAAGCCAGCCAGAUUCUGGAAUUAAAAGAACGCUUUCUUCUCUUUAGCUGCUCUGAAACCUCUUCAAACUGGCAUAAAUCAGAAAUAUAUUAAAAGAGCCAGAAAACAGAAUAUGGAACCUCUGAAAGGCUCAUCGGGUAUAAUUUAAUGCUUGCCGGCAAAGAUGAAUGGGCUAUAUACUUCUUUUCCCUCUAUCCGGCUGAGUUUAUAUUGGAGAAUCCAGAAGGGUUAGCCUUGAUCUGGAGUUAAAUCUAAAUGUAGAUAUAAGUUGGAGACUUAAAAUUCUAUGGCUGAAUGAGAAAUACAGUAGAGUCUCACUUAUCCAAGCCUCUCUUAUCCAAGCUUCUGGAUUAUCCAAGCCAUUUUUGUAGUCAAUGUUUUCAAUAUAUUGUGAUAUUUUGGUGUUAAAUUCGUAAAUACAGUAAUUACAACAUAACAUUACUGUGUAUUGAACUACUUUUUCUGCCAAAUUUGUUGUCUAACAUGAUGGUUUGGUGCUCAAUUUGUAAAAUCAUAAUCUAACUUGAUGUUUAAUAGGCUUUUCCUUAAUCCCUCCUUAUUAUCCAAGAUAUUCGCUUAUCCAAGCUUCUGCCAGCCCGUUUAGCUUGGAUAAGUGAGACUCUACUGUACCUUAUUUCUGUCUGUACGGAGACCAUUUCUUAAUUAUUGUACAGAGUCUCACUUAUCCAACAUAAACGGGCUGGCAGAAUGUUGGAUAAGCAAAUAUGUUGGAUAAUAAGGAGGCAUUAAGGAAAAGCCUAUUAAACAUCAAAUUAGGUUAUGAUUUUACAAAUGAAGCACCAAAACAUCAUGUUAGACAACAAAUUUGACAGAAAAAGUAGUUCAAUACACAGUAAUGCUAUGUAGUAAUUACUGUAUUUACGAAUUUAGCACCAAAAUAUCACAAUGUAUUGAAAACAUUGACUACAAAAAUGUGUUGGAUAAUCCAGAAUGUUGGAUAAGUGAGACUCUACUGUAAUUACUGUAUUUAUUAAUUUAGCACCAAAAUAUCACGAUAUAUUGAAAACAUUGAAUACAAAAAUGUGUUGGAUAAUCCAGAAUGUUGGAUAAGCGAGUGUUGGAUAAGUGAGACUCUAAUGUAUUUCUGUGCCACUUUUCUCACCCCUGGGGGAACUCAAAGCGGUGUACAACAAAAUAAAUUGCAAACAUUCGAUGCCUCUCAUCCAUAUAAAACAGUACAUUGCAUAUAUAAACAAUAAACAUCUAACUAUAAAUGAAGAUCAAUUAAAAAGUAUACAAACCGUCAGACAUACCAUAUAUACUCGAGUAUAAGCCGACCUGAAUAUAAGCCGAGGCACAAAUAACAAAUGUAAUAAUAAAUGGAGUGAAAUAAUUAAUGUAAUAACAAUAAUAAUAUCAGAGUGAAAUAAAUAAUAAAUAUAGCAGUAAUAGAUAGAAUAAAAUAAUAAAGGUAAUAAUACCAGUAAUAAUAGAGAAAAUAAUAAAUGUACCAUAUAUACUUGAGUGUAAACCAACCGGAAUAUAAGCCAACCAGGACCCUCACCUGAGUAUAAGCCGAGGUGGGCUUUUUCAGUCCUAAUAAAGGGAUGAAAAACUCGCUUAUACUCGGGUGAGGGUCCUGGUUGGCUUAUAUAACCGUAAAAACAUUAGACAUUGCUGCUUGUGUCACCAAAAUGCUGCGUUGCUAGGAAGGGUUGAGGGUUGGGGAAGGGUUGAGGAUGAAAGUGGCAGAGUUUUGUGGAGGAGGAGUUGCCAAGCUCAUUCAUCGCUAUGAUAAGUGCCUAGAUUUGAAUGGCGACUAUGUUGAGAAGUGGUAUUUGGGUGUGGCUUUCAACUGCAUAUGGUAAAUGUUUUCUCCUAUACUUUUUGAGGACACAAGCGGCAGAGUUUUGUGGAGGAGGAGUUGCCAAGCUCAUUCAUCGCUAUGAUAAAUGCCUAGAUUUGAAUGGCGACUCUGUUGAGAAGUGGUAUUUGGGUGUGGCUUUCAACUGCAUAUGGUAAAUGUUUUCUCCUAUACUUUCUUCAUUUUUAAUUCCAAAACAAAAUCUACUUUCUGGAUAACCCUCGUACAAGGAUUAUGGAUAUGAUGUCUGGCUUUAAAAUAAGUGGAGAUGUCCACAAAGAUGCCCAAUUGAGCUGGAGAUGCCCAUAGGAAUCAUUGAAGCUGGGUUGCCGUGAGUUUUGCAGGCUGUAUGACCAUAUUCCAGAAGCAUUCUCUCCUGACGUUUCACUCACAUUUAUGGCAGGCAUCCUCAGAGGUUGUGAGAUCUGUAGGAAACUAGGAAGAAGAAAAGCAGACUCAUGUCCCAUUUCUUACAGUUACAAAGUUGUAAUAUUGGAAACUAGCUGUGCCCGGCCACGCGUUGCUGUGGCAUUGUCUGGUGGUGUUGGUGAGAAAUUGUUGAGGUAGUGGUGGUAUUGAAUGUCUGUUGUAUGGUUGUCUUUAUGUUUAGUAUGCACACUGAAGUGGAUUAUAUGGCAGUGUGGAGUCAAGAUAAUCCAGUUCAAAGCAGAUAAUAUAAGAUUCUAAAUGGGUUAUAUAGCUGUACUAGCUGUGCCCGGCCACGCGUUGCUGUGGCAUUGUCUGGUGGUGUUGGUGAGAAAUUGUUGAGGUAGUGGUGGUAUUGAAUGUCUGUUGAAUGGUUGUCUUUAUGUUUAGUAUGCAUUUGGUUGUUUGUGUACUGUGAAAGUGGUGAGGGUAGAGGGGGUCUAUUUCCCUGUGUAGUAUUGUAUAGUAUUUAUAAGUUGUCCAUGUGUUGGGAAUGCUUGGAUUGUGUCCUGCUGCAUAGUAGAAAGGGUUGGGCUGGAUAGCCCUUAGGGGUCUCUCCAAACUCUUGUGCCUGUCCCCUGGGCUGAGUAGGUUGCUAGGAGACCAAGUGGGUGGAACUUAGCCUUGUAACUGGCAGCAAUUGGAUAAAAACAGUUAUUCCUCUUCCUCUAAUUAGGACUUUAUUUUUCUUUUCUUUUUGUUGUAUCAACCUAGAGCCGUGGAUGAUGGGUUGUGUUGUCAAAUUUCGAGGUUGGGGGGCCUGUAGUUUUGUUGUUUUGUCCGCUGCCCUGAUGCCAUCACUCUUUUAUAUAUAUAGAUGGAAGGGCCUUGAGUCUACACUGCCAUAUAAUCCAGUUAAAAUCUGAUAAUCUGUGGAAGAGGCCUAAGUGAGGCCUAACUGUGCCUGUCCCCUGGGCUGAGUAAGUUGCUAGGAGACCAAGUGGGCGGAGCUUAGCCUUCAAACUGGCAGCAAUUGGAUAAAAUCUAUUAUUCCUCUCCCUGUAAUUAGGACUUUAUUUUUCUUUUCUUUUUGUUGUAUCAACCUAGAGCCAUGAAUGAUGGGUUGUGUUGUCAAAUUUCGAGGUUGAUACAACAAAAAGAAAAGAAAAAUAAAGUCCUAAUUAGAGGGAGAGGAAUAAUUGUUUUUAUCCAAUUGCUGCCAGUCACAAGGCUAACUUCCGCCCACUUGGUCUCCUAGCAACCUACUCAGCCCAGGGGACAGGCAAAAGAGUUUGAAGAGACCCCUAAGGGCCAUCCAGCCCAACCCUUUCUACUAUGCAGCAGGACACAAUCGAAGCAUUUACAACACAUGGACAACAUAUAAAUACUAUACAAUACUACACAGGGACAUAGACCCCCCUCUACCCUCACCACUUUCACAGUACACAAACAACCAAAUGCAUACUAAACAUAAAGACAACCAUACAACAGACAUUCAAUACCACCACUACCUCAACCAUUUCUCUCCAACACCACCAGACAACGCCACAGCAACGUGUGGCCGGGCACAGCUAAUAAUAAUAAUAAUAAUAAUAAUAAUAAUAAUAAUAAUAAUAAUUGUUUUUGUAGUUGCUGAGUGUUGAUUUCAGAUUUUUCUUAGUUAAACCCUGGAGGGAGGGGCAGAGAUAUGUAGUAAAGUUGUAAUGGAAAAGUCGAAAACUGAUAAGAAAUAUGCUUAAAGAUGUUUCGGUUUUGAUUUUUCUCUAUUGUUGGAUUGUAUACAGUAUGGUAUGUCUAAGAAACUGUAAAAUGAGGAGAGAAUGUAUACUUAUAUAUUUUGAAUUAUAAAUUAAUAAUAAUAACAUUGAUAAUAAAACAUGUAUAGGUAGAUGAAGGGUGUGUAGUGGAGAGAAGUUGUAAUGGAAAAGUUAAAAGAAUGAUGGGAAAUAUGCUUGGGGAUGUUCUUGAUUUUUUUUUUUUUUGCUGUCAGAUUGUAUGCAACCUGAUGUGUUUGAGAUAUUGUAGAAUGAGGAAAAUGUGAGAUUGUACAUUUGGAUUGAUAAAUAAAUAAAAACAAAUUUAAAAAAAAAGUUAAA